Molecule: ribosomal RNA, 404 nt
Filed under: uncultured bacterium
Lineage: Bacteria
Description: bacterial SSU rRNA
Rfam family: Bacterial small subunit ribosomal RNA
Source: RNAcentral
UAAGGGAUAUUGCACAAUGGGGGAAACCCUGAUGCAGCAACGCCGCGUGGGUGAAGAAGGCCUUCGGGUCGUAAAACCCUUUUCUAGGGGAAGAGGAAGGACAGUACCCUAGGAGGAAGCCACGGCUAACUACGUGCCAGCAGCCGCGGUAAUACGUAGGUGGCGAGCGUUGUCCGGAAUUACUGGGCGUAAAGGGCGUGUAGGCGGGAAUUUAAGUCAGAUGUGAAAACCCCGGGCUUAACUUGGGGACUGCAUUUGAUACUGGAUUUCUUGAGGACAGGAGAGGAAAGCGGAAUUCCUAGUGUAGCGGUGAAAUGCGUAGAUAUUAGGAGGAACACCAGUGGCGAAGGCGGCUUUCUGGACUGUAACUGACGCUGAGGCGCGAAAGCGUGGGGAGCGAACGG